AGUAGUGGGUAGCCUGCUGUCUGUUGUCUGUCCUCAGUGGCGUGUGGACCAGGAUCAGGUGUGUGCGUGGCGGGUUGGCUACUGCUGGCUGUGAGUAUUACGAGGAAUUUCAAGCGUAAUAGUGAGAUGCUGUGUUUCAUAGUAUUGGUCUAGUGUUGGUGGGGACUGCUCAGGAUAGCUGGGGUCCCGUGGUUCACGUAGGAGAGAGGGGCGUGACCAGGCUGUCACGUGGUACUUCACAAUUAUGGACAGCCUCCAGCUGCAAGUAGUACGAAUGGAUCCUAAUGAACCCGGAGCCCGGUGACUUGCAGAUGGAUAGCUCACAGACGUGAGACGUGAGCAUGUACGCGGAUCGGUCAUAAGUAAUAUGUCUGCAGCCUGCUGAUCUGCACCAUAGGAAACAUGUGCUUUCAUAGGACACUUCUAUAUAUGUGCAUCUUCUGAAAAUACUAUUAUAUGGUGUUAUAGCAUAAGCUUUAGGUUAGACUCUUUCUUGUUGGACUUAAUAAGGGUAGCGGGGAGAGGGAUUUAUAUAGGAGGGAAAUGUCCGCGGCGCUUCGUCACCACACCGUUAAGAGGAAUAAAAAUUAUUAUAAAUAUUGCUUCCUAAGACGGAAUAAGUUCGUUGACCUUCUUGAAUUGAAGGGGAAGGUGAACGCCGAACCUGUUGCACUGAAAGGCUGUCGAAAGCCGCCUAAGCUGCCCUUAGAAUGUGCAUUCACUACGAGUACAAAAAGUUAGUGUUCGGCGUGCACUGAAUAUAGAACGAAGGGACUUUUGACUUUUGAUUUUGGAUUGAAUGGAGGGAGCGGCUCAGAUAAGGAUUGCAAAGAUUAUGAACAGAAAAAUUCGGUUAUUCAUUGCUGCCCGAAAAGUACAUGAUCUGUAUUCAGUAAACCAAAAUUUAAUUAUUGCAACAUACGUGCUUGGAUCGCGAACGUGCUUCACCCCUGCAGACGUCCCGACUACAGGCCACAUUGGUUAGCAAUCACGUACUUUAUCUCAACGGCUGUUAGUGGGUAAACUUACCUCGUUAAUCAAUAGUGAAAGCUUAAAUUCUAAGAAUGAAAUCUUCCCUUUUUAUCGUUACGUAGCAUUUUUAAGACUAAAUUCUUUCAAUUUAGUCACGUUGGGAAUUAGGAAAUACAUGAAUUGCUCCAGACAAUCUUACCUCCACAUUUUAUACGUGUUUUCUGUCCCUUCCCCACUUAAUAUUUUUAAUAAUUAAUUUGUUUUAAUUUACUAUAUUAUAAUAGUAAAUAAUUUCGAAUCGCGUAUUUUAACUUCUGGAAAUUAUAAAAUCACUGAAAAUGGAAAUUAUAGAAUCACUGAAAAUGUUAAACUCCAUCUUAGUUUUAACAUAAUGCACUUAGCUAUCUAUGUCUACACACAAUAUAAACUGUGCCCACUUGCAUACAAUAGCAUUAUAUGCUAUUCUUCCACUCGUGUCCAAAUCCACAUGCACUGAACAAAUCUACUGCAUCCUUUAUAAAGCAAAAAUGAGAUUAGAAGGACGCGGCUAACUGAAAUUUUACUCGCAGUGGACCAAAUGAACGGUUUUUUUUUUUUUUUUUUCUUUUGUACUACAAAAGACACCUUUAGAAUCCAAUGUAUGUCAAGCCUGUCCAAUGCUGAGCUAUAGAAACAAACCAUAGAACUUAUGAAUACCCAGACAGUACCUAAGGUCUUUUCAUCACGGAAUUAUAUACCUCAGUCAAGUAAUUUUAAAGCUACUCAAAGCCACACUUUACAAAUCCCAUAGUAAUAAUGUAUUUCAAUCAUGAGAAAAAUUAGAAUACAUAUAUUUUCUUGGUAACUUACUAUGCAUGAAUCCACAACUUCACUCACUCCAUAUCUAUUCAUUAGUAGAUGAAGUUGUCUCUUUAUGGAAAUGCUUACUUUGCAAAUUGUCUCCAUCUUAUUAGAAAUACCAGUUUAGAGUUAAAUUUCCUUACCAUAACAUUAAGACAUUGAAAUAGGACUAUGUAUUGCUGCGGUCUGCUAUGUAUUGCAAGAAGAAAGAAAAAGAUGAAAAGAAAAA
Molecule: long non-coding RNA, 2041 nt
Organism: Scylla paramamosain (green mud crab)
Lineage: Eukaryota; Metazoa; Arthropoda; Malacostraca; Decapoda; Portunidae
Exons: 3
Source: RefSeq, a predicted model, not a curated record